CUGGUAAGUUCACAAACCCAGUCAUGCUUUUGGUUUGGCCUGAAACUCAUGAAAUCAAGGGUUUUCCGAAAGUUAACAACGAGGUACUGUUCAUGAUGUUUUAAUCUAGGGUUUUUGGACCAAUCUAAGAUCAUAGGAGUUCAUAAAAUGAUCUUGUGAAGCUCGGAUGACCAAGUUGGAGGUUUUUGGACGUCAGGAUCACGCCAUUCGAAGUUGACCGAUUUUGGAGGAUUUUCCUGACGAAAUUUCAGAGGUUUUCAAAGGUUUUUGAAGGCGAGGCUUAUAUGGAUGAUGAGCACAGUUAAGGGAGGCUCGGGGGCUACGACCCUUCGACAUAUCUGUUCAAGAUAGCAGAGUUUUGGUGGCCAUGAGGAAUUCAGCGGUGUUCUGACAGAAUUGUUAAAAGUAGGACUCACCAUCGGGGGUUUCUUUUUAGCAACUGUAUUUUAAAAGCUUCCGAACUGUGUAAAUGGUUACGUCACUCUCACGUGACGGCCAGCAUGCCCUACUCCGGGAUGGGGUGUGUCAUUCAUCGUUUAUCUUCCCCAUCAUUUUCUCUUUGUCAAAUCAUGCAUCAAUCUCUUAAUUUUCUUCAUCGAUUAAGAUAAUUUGUA
This is a long non-coding RNA of Malus domestica (apple), 614 nucleotides long. RefSeq lists it as uncharacterized. NCBI's taxonomy places the organism in Eukaryota, Viridiplantae, Streptophyta, Magnoliopsida, Rosales, Rosaceae. The record is from RefSeq and is a predicted model, not a curated record.